GAUGAAGAACGUAGCAAAAUGCGAUAAGUAAUGUGAAUUGCAGAAUUCAGUGAAUCAUCGAAUCUUUGAACGCACAUUGCGCCCGCCAGUAUUCUGGCGGGCAUGCCUGUUCGAGCGUCAUUUCAACCCUCAAGCACAGCUUGGUGUUGGGACUCGCGUUAAUUCGCGUUCCCCAAAUUGAUUGGCGGUCACGUCGAGCUUCCAUAGCGUAGUAGUAAAACCCUCGUUACUGGUAAUCGUCGCGGCCACGCCGUUAAACCCCAACUUCUGAAUGUUGACCUCGGAUCAGGUAGGAAUACCCGCUGAACUUAAGCAUAUCAAUAAGCAGAGGA
Molecule: unclassified non-coding RNA, 332 nt
Filed under: soil metagenome
Description: partial contains 5.8S ribosomal RNA, internal transcribed spacer 2, and large subunit ribosomal RNA
Rfam family: 5.8S ribosomal RNA (bases 1-120)
Source: RNAcentral